This 304-nucleotide unclassified non-coding RNA is filed under the name Hevea brasiliensis (rubber tree). The record is from RNAcentral. Lineage: Eukaryota; Viridiplantae; Streptophyta; Magnoliopsida; Malpighiales; Euphorbiaceae.
GAGAUGAAAUGCGGGGGUUGGGUUCCUUCUGAAGGAACGUAUACAAACAUAAUUUUGGCUUGUGUGAAACAAGGGAAUAUGGUCAAGGCAUUGAGGCUCAAGGAUGAAAUGCUUAGUAAUGGCCAUCUGAUGAACUUGGUGGUUGCAACAAGUUUGAUGAAAGGGUAUCAUCUGCAGGGGAACUUAUCAAGUGCUUUGGAUUUGUUUGACAAACUGGUCGAGUAUGGACUCACUCCGAACAAGGCGACAUAUGCAGUUUUAAUAGAAGGUUGCUGUAAAAAUGGGGAUGUUGAAAAAGCAUUAC